GUGGAGCUCUUUCCCUCCUGGUGCC
RNAcentral lists this non-coding RNA (25 nucleotides) under Cricetulus griseus (Chinese hamster). Lineage: Eukaryota; Metazoa; Chordata; Mammalia; Rodentia; Cricetidae. The record is from RNAcentral.